This is an RNA transcript of Diceros bicornis minor, 1970 nucleotides long. It is a transcript of the gene named ral guanine nucleotide dissociation stimulator-like, with no coding region annotated. Lineage: Eukaryota; Metazoa; Chordata; Mammalia; Perissodactyla; Rhinocerotidae. The record is from RefSeq and is a predicted model, not a curated record. The transcript has 5 exons.
CUGCACUCCUACUGCUUCUGGUCCCGGGGGAACAGGAGCACGGGUGCCGCCUGCAGGAGCAGGUGGAGAAGGACAGCGAGCUGAAGAGGGGCAGCUGCCGACAGCCAGGUGCACACGCUGCAGGAGGAGCUGGACGAGCUGAAGGGAGGGGCUCCCUAACUGAGCAGCCUGCUGCCCCCAGCCGAGUUUGGUGGCAGCAGUGGGAUCCAAAGGAGACACCUGAUGGCUUCGAGGAUGAGAAACACAGUCAUUGGUACCCUCAAAACCUUUGAGUUCUCCAUCUUUUUCACUGUUUCUGAGGGCUGUGGGACCUCUUCCGGAAGGUGGUGCCCUCUCCGUGCCUGGGCUCCACCUGGGGCAAGAGGAGCAAGCCCGAAAUGAACACCAGACACCUACCGUCCAGGCCACCAUCGACCACGUCAGAAGGGUGGCCAGCUUCGUCAUCACCCCCUGCCUCAGGGACCCGAGCAUGACAGCCCAGGACAGGGUGAGGGUGGUGGAGCGCUGGAUCCAGGUGGCCCAGGUGUGCUGUGGGAGGCCCAGUGGAGUCCCUCUCUGAAGCCUUGGGAACUGCCUCUCCACCUUUAUCAGCUCCCAGGAUUGCAGUGUGUGGUCUAAGCCCUUGCACAGUCCCUAGGCCCUUCCUGCUAGGGGCCCGCUGACUUUGACUCCAGGUCCCAGUGAGAGGAUGCUCACUUCCUACCUGGCUCCUUCCCUGGGUUGAGCUAAAAUCCUGUUCCCUGUGAGUGUUACUCUUUGGGUCCUAAAUGUGCCCUUCUGGGACUCCCUGAGCAUCUGUCUCAUCCAGGAGGGGAGAUUUAAAUAGAAGGGGACUGAAGCUAGAGCAAGUGGGGCUACAGUGCCCCACCUCACAGCUCAUUCUCUUCCCUUCCCCAGGAGUGCGAGAACCUGAAGAACUUCUCCUCGCCCUGCACUGUCAUCUCUGCUCUGCAGAAAACCUCCACAAGCCACCUGAAGAACACACGGGGGAAGUUUCCCGGUGGGUAGGCCUCUCUCCAUAGGAGGACCAGGGUGGAUGGGGGAUCUCCUGUAUGUCUGCCAUUGGCCCCUCAGUCAGCUGGGAACUCCUGGGAGGUAGCAAAUGCUGGGGACCGGGCCUGGGCCUCGGCAGGGGGUCUCUAAACCUCCCGGGGUCCUUAGUGCACCAGUUCUGCUUCAGGACUCGGUUUCCCUAAGUGUCAGGUACUAAGUUGAGCCAAAUUGGGGAUUUUCAGGUGUUUAUAGCAACAAAACUCUAUGCCCAUUUGAAACUCAAAGCAGUCAAAACAGAGCUGCUCAGUAGAUCUGGAGAGUGGAGACCCCAGUGACCAACAGGAGAGCCCCCUCCCAGUACCAUGAGACCUUAGCGCUCAGAGGAGCCCAGUGAGAACACUUCUCCAGGCCAUUUGAAUCUCGGGUUUGCAAAGAAAAGGGAUUUGCAUUCAGACCCCUCACAUUAUUCCUAAAUUUAUCCCUCGUUCUUUCCCCUCCCCUGAGAGAGAGCCCUGAAAAUCUUCAGGAACUCAAUAGUCAAGACAAGUCCUUGAGCAGAGAACUGAUGAUCAAGGUUAACAAGCAGAGGGAUCUGUUCUGCCCAUGAGCAGGUGGGGUGCCGUUUGUGGGCAGGAGGCCCUGGUCAUGAGACACAAUGGUGUUGGCUGGGCUGUUCCAGGAGGAGUUGCCGAGCUGGCGCCAUCAACAGGUCUCUGGCUUCCAUGUAUGUCCAUCCUGCAGGAUGUAGCUUCUUCCAUGCUGUUGGGUGAUUGGUGUGGGUUUAGCCCUCAGCCUAAAACUAUCCUCAGGAAGCCAGGACCCCGCUGCUCCUUCUAUCUUCACCACAUCUCCAAGGGGCUGCAGCCUGCCUGCCCCAGGGAUGCGCAUGGCAGAGGAUUCCCAUGGCCCAGGUGGACAAACAGGCUGCUCAUCCUUAGAUGAGGAAACAGGCUCAAGGAGGCCAGGCCACGAGCCCA